Molecule: microRNA, 23 nt
Filed under: Brugia malayi
Lineage: Eukaryota; Metazoa; Nematoda; Chromadorea; Rhabditida; Onchocercidae
Description: bma-miR-9519
Source: miRBase by way of RNAcentral
UUUCCGUAGAACAUUAAACGAAU